Molecule: long non-coding RNA, 384 nt
Organism: Xenia sp. Carnegie-2017
Lineage: Eukaryota; Metazoa; Cnidaria; Anthozoa; Malacalcyonacea; Xeniidae
Exons: 3
Source: RefSeq, a predicted model, not a curated record
GGAAAUGUGUAAAGAAAGUUUAACAAGAGGAUGUCAUAUUUGUGGAGAUUUUGGUCACAAAAGGAAAGCUUGCCCCACACACUAAAAUGAAUUCAAAUCAGAAAAAGAUUCCAUGAUGGCAAACAAAUCACUGAAUGUAAUAAGAUCAGGAAAAGAGAACAUUGAUGGACAAGAACUAUUGCUUGAUGUUUCAUACAUCUUAAAGAAACAUGACAGUGAAUCCUGUCUGUCUCCUUAAUUUAAAAUUUAAGGCUUGAUCAAGUCUUCUAAUGUCAACAUGCAAGAUAGAAAAGGAUCUGAAAGAUGGAGAUAAGGAUGUAUGGAAGUGAAAUAUAUUUAUCUUUUCAUCCAAAUUCAUUAAUUAAAAGUUUGGCAAAUCUUAUA